AUUGAACGCUGGCGGAAUGCUUUACACAUGCAAGUCGAACGGCAGCACGGGGGCAACCCUGGUGGCGAGUGGCGAACGGGUGAGUAAUACAUCGGAACGUGCCCGGUCGUGGGGGAUAACGUAGCGAAAGUUACGCUAAUACUGCAUACGAUCUGAGGAUGAAAGCGGGGGACCUUCGGGCCUCGCGCGAUCGGAGCGGCCGAUGUCAGAUUAGGUAGUUGGUGGGGUAAAGGCCUACCAAGCCGACGAUCUGUAGCUGGUCUGAGAGGACGACCAGCCACGCUGGGACUGAGACACGGCCCAGACUCCUACGGGAGGCAGCAGUGGGGAAUUUUGGACAAUGGGCGCAAGCCUGAUCCAGCCAUUCCGCGUGCAGGACGAAGGCCUUCGGGUUGUAAACUGCUUUUGUAUGGAACGAAAAGGCUCUGGCUAAUACCUGGGGCUCAUGACGGUACCGUAAGAAUAAGCACCGGCUAACUACGUG
RNAcentral lists this ribosomal RNA (484 nucleotides) under uncultured bacterium. Its description in RNAcentral is "partial 16S ribosomal RNA". It matches the Rfam family "Bacterial small subunit ribosomal RNA", at positions 30 to 507 of the family's 1533-position model. The record is from RNAcentral.